UUAAAGUUUUAUUCUUGCUUAAUAAUUUACUUCAAAUUUAUUUUACAUGUGAGUUUUUGCGUGCGUUAUAGUUUUUCUUAAAGAAAUUUUAAAGGUUAUUGAUUCGCAGUAUUUAAUUUUAUUAAUCAAGGUAACUUGGAAUUAGUAAUUUUUGUUAGUACCGGCAAAAGUCGUGCCAGCCGCCGCGGUUAUACGAAGGGUGCAAGUGAAUAUUUUUAGUGUAUAGUUAAGUGAUAUAUAAGGAAGGUAAAAGUGAAUUUAUUAGGUGAAAUUUUAAAUUUAAAUAACUUCUUUAAAGGUUGUUGAAGCUGUGAAAUUUAAAGAUUAAACUAGGAUUAUUAUACCCUAUUAUUUUAAACGUUAAAUAUAAAUACUUGAGUAGUAAUAGUUAUAUUCUUGAAACUCAAAGAAUUUGGCGGUGUUUUAGUCCUUUCAGAGGAACCUGUCCCGUAAUCGAUAGCCCACGUUAGACCUUACUUAAUUUAGUAAUCAGCUUGUAUACCGCCGUCGUCAGAAUGUCCUUAGAGGGAGAAAAUUUUCUUGAAUUUUAAUUAGAAAUGAUGUCAGGUCAAGGUGCAGUUAAUAAUUAAGUGGUGAUGGGUUACAAUAAAUUUAUUUAUUAUGGAUAAUGAUUUGUAAUAGUUGUUUGAAGGUGGAUUUGAUGGUAAUUAUAUUAAGUUUAUUUAAUUGAUUUUGGCUCUAAAACAUGCACACAUCGCCCGUCGCUCUCGUUAAUUAAGGCGAGAUAAGUCGUAACAUAGUAGGUGUACCGGAAGGUGCCCCUGGAAAGUUU
RNAcentral lists this non-coding RNA (793 nucleotides) under Pteronarcys princeps (ebony salmonfly). RNAcentral describes it as "small subunit ribosomal RNA". The stretch from base 377 to 785 matches the Rfam family "Microsporidia small subunit ribosomal RNA", at positions 752 to 1303 of the family's 1311-position model. Lineage: Eukaryota; Metazoa; Arthropoda; Insecta; Plecoptera; Pteronarcyidae. The record is from RNAcentral.